CUUGGUCAUUUAGAGGAAGUAAAAGUCGUAACAAGGUUUCCGUAGGUGAACCUGCGGAAGGAUCAUUAUUGAUUUUUAAAGAUGUGCUGGCACUCCUUCACCGGUUUGCAUGUGCACUCUGCAAAAUCUCCUUCUCUUACCCCACUGUGCACACCCAAGUAGACAAACAGAGUUACAGAGCAAUCUGUGUAAUUCCUGAUUUGCCUAUGUUUUUAUCAAACACCAAUAACAAUAUCAGAAUGAUCUAUAUAGUAAGCUUUUAACAAGCUGAAAUUUAAUACAACUUUCAACAAUGGAUCUCUUGGUUCUCGCAUCGAUGAAGAACGCAGCGAAUUGCGAUAUGUAAUGUGAAUUGCAGAAUUCAGUGAAUCAUCGAAUCUUUGAACGCACCUUGCACCCUCUGGCAUUCAGGAGGGUAUGCCUGUUUGAGUGUCAUUAAUCUCUCAACGCAAGAAACUUUGUCUUCUUGUGCUUGGAUAUUGAAGGUUUUGCUGGCGCAAACAACUGUCAGCUCCUUUUAAAUGUAUUAGCAGAGCAGUAUGGGACUGGCCUCGGUUUGAUAAGAAACUUUAUCUAUGCUGUCGCUGGGUUUUCCUCUUUGUGCUCAGCUUCAAAUUGUCUUCGGACUGUCUCUUGAGGCAACAAAAUUUCUAUUGAUCGACCUCAAAUCAGGUAGGACUACCCGCUGAACUUAAGCAUAUCAAUAAGCGGAGGA
This 715-nucleotide ribosomal RNA is filed under the name uncultured Clavaria. RNAcentral describes it as "eukaryotic LSU rRNA". The stretch from base 282 to 435 matches the Rfam family "5.8S ribosomal RNA". Lineage: Eukaryota; Fungi; Basidiomycota; Agaricomycetes; Agaricales; Clavariaceae. The record is from RNAcentral.